RNAcentral lists this ribosomal RNA (450 nucleotides) under uncultured bacterium. RNAcentral describes it as "bacterial SSU rRNA". It matches the Rfam family "Bacterial small subunit ribosomal RNA", at positions 29 to 524 of the family's 1533-position model. The record is from RNAcentral.
AACGAACGCUGGCGGCAUGCCUAACACAUGCAAGUCGAACGAGACCUUCGGGUCUAGUGGCGCACGGGUGCGUAACGCGUGGGAAUCUGCCCUUGGGUUCGGAAUAACAGUUAGAAAUGACUGCUAAUACCGGAUGAUGUCUUCGGACCAAAGAUUUAUCGCCCAGGGAUGAGCCCGCGUAGGAUUAGCUAGUUGGUGGGGUAAAGGCUCACCAAGGCGACGAUCCUUAGCUGGUCUGAGAGGAUGAUCAGCCACAUUGGGACUGAGACACGGCCCAGACUCCUACGGGAGGCAGCAGUGGGGAAUAUUGGACAAUGGGCGAAAGCCUGAUCCAGCAAUGCCGCGUGAGUGAUGAAGGCCUUAGGGUUGUAAAGCUCUUUUACCCGGGAUGAUAAUGACAGUACCGGGAGAAUAAGCCCCGGCUAACUCCGUGCCAGCAGCCGCGGUAAU